UACGGAGGGUGCAAGCGUUAUCCGGAUUUACUGGGUUUAAAGGGUGCGUAGGUGGGUAGGUAAGUCAGUGGUGAAAUCUUCAAGCUUAACUUGGAAACUGCCAUUGAUACUAUUUAUCUUGAAUACUUUGGAGGUAAGCGGAAUAUGUCAUGUAGCGGUGAAAUGCUUAGAUAUGACAUAGAACACCAAUUGCGAAGGCAGCUUACUACACAGUAAUUGACACUGAGGCACGAAAGCGUGGGGGAGUCAAACAGGA
RNAcentral lists this ribosomal RNA (256 nucleotides) under uncultured bacterium. RNAcentral describes it as "partial 16S ribosomal RNA". It matches the Rfam family "Bacterial small subunit ribosomal RNA", at positions 524 to 777 of the family's 1533-position model. The record is from RNAcentral.